Molecule: ribosomal RNA, 274 nt
Filed under: uncultured bacterium
Lineage: Bacteria
Description: partial 16S ribosomal RNA
Rfam family: Bacterial small subunit ribosomal RNA
Source: RNAcentral
AUACGGAGGGUGCAAGCGUUGUUCGGAAUCACUGGGCGUAAAGGGCGCGCAGGCGGUUUGGUAAGUCAGAUGUGAAAGCCCACGGCUCAACCGUGGAAGUGCAUUUGAAACUGCCAGACUUGAGUACCAGAGGGGAAAGUGGAAUUCCCGGCGUAGAGGUGAAAUUCGUAGAUAUCGGGAGGAAUACCGGUGGCGAAGGCGACUUUCUGGCUGGAUACUGACGCUGAGGCGCGAAAGCGUGGGGAGCAAACAGGAUUAGAUACCCCGGUAGUCC